This 492-nucleotide ribosomal RNA is filed under the name uncultured bacterium. Its description in RNAcentral is "partial 16S ribosomal RNA". It matches the Rfam family "Bacterial small subunit ribosomal RNA", at positions 29 to 507 of the family's 1533-position model. The record is from RNAcentral.
AGUGAACGCUGGCGGUAGGCCUAACACAUGCAAGUCGAACGGCAGCACAGUAAGAGCUUGCUCUUACGGGUUGCGAGUGGCGGACGGGUGAGGAAUACAUCGGAAUCUACUUUUUCGUGGGGGAUAACGUAGGGAAACUUACGCUAAUACCGCAUACGACCUACGGGUGAAAGCAGGGGAUCUUCGGACCUUGCGCGAUUGAAUGAGCCGAUGUCGGAUUAGCUAGUUGGCGGGUUAAAGGCCCACCAAGGCGACGAUCCGUAGCUGGUCUGAGAGGAUGAUCAGCCACACUGGAACUGAGACACGGUCCAGACUCCUACGGGAGGCAGCAGUGUGGAAUAUUGGACAAUGGGCGCAAGCCUGAUCCAGCCAUACCGCGUGGGUGAAGAAGGCCUUCGGGUUGUAAAGCCCUUUUGUUGGGAAAGAACAGCAGCAGGUUAAUACCACGCUGUUCUGACGGUACCCAAAGAAUAAGCACCGGCUAACUUCAUG